This 333-nucleotide long non-coding RNA is filed under the name Rhinopithecus bieti (black snub-nosed monkey). RNAcentral's name for it is "lncRNA (ENSRBIG00000046466.1)". Lineage: Eukaryota; Metazoa; Chordata; Mammalia; Primates; Cercopithecidae. The record is from RNAcentral.
AUUGGUAAAUUAAGUAAAUUGGGUUUCUAUUGAAAAAUAAUUAAUAAUUUUAUGUAUUUUUUAAAAUUCAAGUGAGCAGUGAAGAUUCAGAAGAUUCUGAUUUUCAGGAAUCAGGAGUUAGUGAAGAAGUUAGUGAAUCUGAAGAUGAACAGCGGCCCAGAACAAGGUCUGCAAAGAAAGCAGAGUUGGAAGAAAAUCAGCGGAGCUAUAAACAGAAAAAGAAAAGGCGACGUAUUAAGGUUCAAGAAGAUUCAUCCAGUGAAAACAAGGUAAUAAUGACAUUUACUACGUGCUUGAAUUAUAACUGGUACAGUAGACUAUGGUAAUCAUGCU